Rosa chinensis is the source of this 1906-nucleotide long non-coding RNA. RefSeq lists it as uncharacterized. The record is from RefSeq and is a predicted model, not a curated record. NCBI's taxonomy places the organism in Eukaryota, Viridiplantae, Streptophyta, Magnoliopsida, Rosales, Rosaceae. The transcript has 4 exons.
AAGCCAUACUGUUGUAAUUCCUUUGUGGAAGAGGCUGGAAUACGCAGGCUGUAACUUACAGCCACCGGCAGAGGUUAACGUGGCGCGAGGAGAGCCACUUAAUGGAUCAACGUAGGGGUUGAACGUCAUUUCACCGUUGACGGUGCCGUUAGAGUAAAAAUGUUUUACAGCCCUCCUCGUCAGCCACCACAAUCGAACUAGAGUUCAUCCCAUCCUUUCCUCUCCAAACCCUCCUCAGACCCAAAAUCACCUCUCUCUCUCUCUCUCUCUCUCUCUCUCUCUCCUGUCACCACUGGACCUCAUAACCAAAUCACUCCCUUUCGCUGUGUAACCAAAUUCCAAUCUCUGAAAGACUGCACAGAAUAAGCGACUCCUGUUGGAUACAGCACCACGUAUCACAAAACCAACACCCAAACAAGGAAUUGGAUCAAGACAUUGGAGCAUAGCGAAAAGGAAACACAAAAUCAAAGAUCAGAAUUGAAAAAGAAAGGCAAGAAGCCGCAGAAAUAGGCCAUCGCCUGAGCAGAAGCGCGAAGGGCGAAGUUUAUCUCCACCGGCUCUUACGAGAUCGAGGAGAGAGGAAACCCAGAGCGAGAGGAAGGGGAAUAAAUGGUUGCUGCUUUUAACGGAGCCCCAUGUUUCAUUACAGCCUUUGCAGAAGCGAUAUCAAGAUUCAAGAGUCAAGGUCGCUGUUUCAUUAUAGCCGUUGCAGAAACCGUACCAAUAUCGGUGGUGUAGGGGUUGAGAAGAUGCUUUCCGGUUAGCGUCUCAUCCCGUCCCAUCUCCCAUCAUCUUGGCCGGUAUAAGGCAAGGACAGCAGCUGCAGUCAAAGUUCUAGAGUUUCAAUUUGAGAGUGAGCCUCUGUCUAUUUAAACUCAAAUAUGUAAUAGUGCCCUGCUGAGUUUAACUAAUGUUAUGGCUCAUGGGAGCUGGCACUCCUGGCAGGAGUAGAAUCAGCAUAUAGAAAGAACAAGUAUUCUGGUAUCUAGUCCUCCGGUGGUUGGCUUCUUCUGUUUUACACAGGUCAUAUUUUGCCUUUUUUAAUUUUCUCUACCUUUUCAAUUGGGUUAACAAAUUCUAAACUGUGACCCUUGAUUCCUAGACCCUAAAUAUUUUCUGUUACAGACUGCAUCAGGAGAUGUGAUACUUUUCAUUUAUAUGCAGUAGUUUUCAAGUGGAACUGGAACAGAUGUUUGGGGAUUGUAUGGAACGUGGCACAAAAUAAAAGGAAUGUGCUCUGAGGCUUUGUUAAAGAAAGUGAGAUUGUACUAGGUGAUGUGUCUGCACAUUGUGAAAAUCAUGACAGGAAUAUGACCUCAAAAUGCAGUCAAUGCACCUAUUGCAGCCUAUGAUCAGUUUGUUCUGGUUCUAUAAUUACAAGAGAUCCACAGACGGGGAAGUUUUGAGAAAUGAGAUGGGGGAAUUAAUGGGUGCUUUCUUAACACCAUAUAAGGAUUUUUUCUCCUUUGACAAUGGAGUUUGAUGGCCUGAAAAGUAGGUAUCUGAUUAGCCUUUGAAGUUGAGCUUGAUAGUAGAGUGGCUGGUAGCUUGGUAGUCUCUAAUGAGAUGUGCUGACAGAGAGUGGGAUGAUAAUAGUGUCGUUCUAAUUUUAUCAGACAUCCCCAAGACCCCAGAGGGAUCUAAAAGUGCUGUUGAAGAAUUGUGAUGCAACCAAGGUCUGCUUCUAACUGAGGGAAUGCAACAAAGUGGUUCAUGUGUUGGCUAGAUUCAUAGUGAAGGAAUGUAUUAAUAUAUUUUGUAUUGAAAUUGGGCCGGGCUUAUGUGAUUGAUAAAUAUCAAUGCUAAUAUUUGUAAGUUUGUAACAUUUCUUAUGAUUAAUGAAUGAUUACCUAUUCGUUUGAAAAAAAAAAGUGUAAGAUUUAAGAGAACGAUAGCUGUUUUAUAA